ACUGUAUUUUGUGUCUGUUAAUGAGCGACUGUCUUCAGGUAAAUGAUCUGGAGUGUGUUUGCAUAUUGAUCAGAUGCUUCAGUGCUCUGAGAGUGUUUAUAGUGCUGUGAGUUUAACACUUCAUCACUGACACACACAACAAUCUUCAUCAACAUGACCUUCAUCAUCAUCUUCAUCUGGACUCUCACAGCGUUUGCUCAAGAGUGUAGAGGACAGAUCACCGUCACUCAGAGUCCCUCAACGACAGCAGCUCGACCAGAAGAAACAGUCAAAAUCAGCUGUAAAACCAGCACAGAUGUGUACUUGAGUGGUUCAGUUCAUUUUUUAGCCUGGUACUUACAGAAACCUGGAGAAGCUCCUAAACUCCUGAUUUAUUAUACAAACACCCUCCAGUCAGGAACUCCAUCUAGAUUCAGUGGCAGUGGAUCUAACAGUGAUUUCACUCUGACCAUCAGUGGAGUCCAGACUGAAGAUGCUGGACAUUAUUACUGUCAGAGUGCACACUAUAUCAGUAGUAGCUGGGUGUUCACACAGUGA
Onychostoma macrolepis is the source of this 537-nucleotide non-coding RNA. The record is from the annotation of a RefSeq genome assembly. Lineage: Eukaryota; Metazoa; Chordata; Actinopteri; Cypriniformes; Cyprinidae.